Molecule: transfer RNA, 65 nt
Filed under: Canis lupus familiaris (dog)
Lineage: Eukaryota; Metazoa; Chordata; Mammalia; Carnivora; Canidae
Also listed under: 2 other names
Source: Rfam by way of RNAcentral
UCCUGGGUGGCUCAGUGGUUGAGCAUCUGUCUUUGGCUCAGAGCAUGAUCCCAGAGCCCCAGGAU